This is a non-coding RNA of Sus scrofa (pig), 683 nucleotides long. The record is from RefSeq and is a predicted model, not a curated record. Lineage: Eukaryota; Metazoa; Chordata; Mammalia; Artiodactyla; Suidae.
AUCUGUGAAAUGGAAAGAAAGGGUUAAACAAAACCAUGCGUGGGACGGGGUUAAAGCCAGGCACCUGGGAAAGUGGGUUCUUAUCAGCUGCAUCUGAAGGGAGGAAGCCGGAAGAAUCGGGAAGUCUGCCCAAGCCUGGCUGUGGUUCCCGAGGGCUGGAGGCUGGGGAUGUGAGUGAGCCAGGAGAUGGGCCAGCACGAGCCUGAAGUCAAGCAGCGCAGGAGGGCGUGAAGUCCAGUGACAGAGACCUCGCUAACCGCUGGUUUGUGGAGUAGAGUCAGGGUUCUUCCGCUCCAGACCCAGAGCCCUCUGUGACCCGUUCCUACCUGCAGAGCAAACGGGGGCUACAGCAGGUCCCUGCAGCAGGAGAGGCAGGGAUGCCUCGAUGACUCAGCCUCGGCCCACCCGAAGCAGCUAGAAACUCGAAGAGGGAUUUUAAGUGAGAGCGAGGCUGGAAACCCAGAGGGGCCUGACCACCGAGAGGCAGGAGUCUAGUCACCUGCCAGCACCAGAUGCCAAAUUCACAGGGGCUCUAAAAGGUCAGAGUAAUCGGCCCUCCACCCCACAGGUUCUCAGAAGGGCUAAGAAGCUGGGGGAACCCAAAAUGAAAAGAUGACAGAACCUGGAGUUCCUGUCAUGGCGCAGUGGUUAACGAACCCGACUGGGAACCAGCGGUUGCAGGU